CUGUGGAUGGAUGAAGUGUUAUGGUGCAUUUCAGAUUUCAGUCAAUAAUGGAUAUGUUUUUUAUUUUAUUAAAUCAUUGGUCAGUUUCUAUUUCUUUUUGUGAUAUGAUAAUAUCCGUUUAAAAUUAAUUAAACGUGUGAUGGUGUGGUGAAUAUGGAUACAGUAUUUAUUGAUACUACUUAAAUUUUAUUGAAGUAAUGACAUUAAAGAAAAGUACAAAAAUGUCAACAAAAUCACAUAUAACUACAGAAUUAAGCGACAGCAUAAGUAAUGUUUUGGGAAAAAAUGUAAAAAUACUCUAUAAAUCUUUAAUUCGUAUGGAAUCGAGAGGCGACAAGGUGGAUAACAGGGUCCUUGUUGUGAGUGCAUUUAGGAUUUUUAUAACAACAACAAAAGUUCCAACAAGGGUUGACAAUGGAUUUCACUUGAUGGAAAUAGAGGCACUGGAGAGUAAAAAAGCUAAUCACCUAUCAAUUACGUUAAUUCAUGAACAUAAGCCUGUCUCAAUUCUCAUUGGCGAGGAGGGAUCACCAGAUGGGGUAAUUAAUGCUAUUCACGCUUUAGCCGCGGCGUUUGAUGAUCUUUUUCCCAACGUUGCUAUGGAGGACAUUAUAUCCAAGGUCAAUUUACCUUUUCAAAUACAACCGGUCAGCGGUACGCGAAAACAUUCCACUUGUGGAGAUUUUUCUAAUCAGUAUGCUGCUAUGUGUGACUUAUGUCAAACUCCUUUUAGGGCGGAGGUGGCGUGGGACAUCGAUACGAUAUAUUUGGCUCAUGAUAUUAGAAUGUUGCAUUUGAAGGACUUCGAUCAUUUGGAUCAAAGGGACUUGAUACCGUUGCUGAUCGCGCUGCAACACAACACGUGGUUCGAGGGCGUGUGCGGGGACGGCGUGCGCGUGGGGGGCGAGGCGUGGGAGGCGUUGUCGCGCGUGGUGCGCUGCGCCGCCCCGCCCCCGCAGCGGCUCAGCUGGCGCGCCGCCGCACUGCGACACGACCACGCCGCCAGGCUCGGACACGCACUCGCGCGUGCCCGCACACCCCCCGCCAUGCACACCAUUGACUUCUCACAGAACCAUAUUGAAGAUAAAGGUGCAAUAAGCAUUUUAACUGGUCUGGCGAACAACCCGGACGGGCUGCGUCACAUCGCGUUGUCUCAGUGCGGCCUCACUGGCAAAACGGUGUCGCACCUCGCCGCCAUAUUGAACGACAGUGCCUGCCAUCUCUCCACAUUGUCACAUCUAGAUCUCUCUAAUAAUAACCUAAAAGAUGAUGUACAUAAUCUGUAUAAUUUUUUAGCACAACCGAACGUGUUGACGCAUUUAAAUUUGACUAACACGGAGACGACGCUUGAAAAUAUGUGGGGAGCGCUGCUGCGCGGGUGCGCGGCGCGGCUGUCCUCCCUGCUGGUGGGACGCAACCCGUGGUCCACGGCGCGUCGCCCGCGGGACCCCCCACCUUCCUUCAGACAGUUCUUCACCGCCUGCCUCGCACUCGCCGACCUCGACUUCUCCUACUGCAAGAUGCCGCCUGAUGUGCUCAAGAGCCUGCUGCUGGGUCUGGCGUGCAACGAGAGCGCGGCGGGCGUGAAGCUGUGCCUGUCGGGCGUGCUGGCCUCCGCGCAGGCCGCGCACGUGCUCGAGUCCUGCAUACACGGCGUGCGUUGUCUGCAGACCCUCGACCUCUCCGAUAACAGUAUGGAAUACGAAUUAUCGGGCAUCGUUCGCGCUAUUGGAAAGAAUCAUUCGAUUACACAUUUAUCGUUAAGCAGAUUGACUGGGAAAAGGUCAUAUGCCCCGCCUUUAAUACAAGCUUUGGUACACGUUCUUCAAGAACCAGAUACUGCGUUGACUUCAUUAGAUUUGAGUGACUGUAAACUAAAGGGUGACUUGUACGGCUUGCUGAACGCGCUGGGCGGAGCGCGGCGGCUGCGCUCGCUGGACGUGGGCGGCAACGUGGCGGGCGACGCGGGCGCGCGCCUGCUCGCCAAGGCGCUGCAGUGCAACUGCACCCUGCACACGUUGCACAUCGACCGUAACGCAUUCAGUUUGCAAGGUUUGACGGACAUAGCGACUGCUCUGCGGCGGUCGGUGAGCGUGCGACGCGUUGACUUCCCCGGCUGCGAUGCGGCGGCGGGAGGCCGUGGUGCUAGCGAACGAGUCGCCACUUUAUGGCGGGACCUGCACGAACGUUUGUCAAGCAACAGCACAUCGGCGCAGUGCUACAGGCUGCGCGCGCUGGCGUUGGAGCGGGCGUGGGCUGGUGGUGAGGCGGCGGCUGCGCUCGCGGCGCAAGCGGCUGCAGCACUGCCUCCCGCUCCCCUUCCUGCCGCUCUCGAGCGCGCUGCUGCCGCUGCGCAUCAUCUGCUGCAUCAGUAUUUGCAGCGUUGCAGCGAGGUGUUCGCGGCGAUGGGCGGGGCUGGUGCGGGCGCGGCGGGCGAGCUGGUGACGUUGCAAGCGGUGCGCGACGCUAUGGCACCCUGCAACACCACGCUGCAGGAUUUGCUCAAUGAGGCGGUAGAGAGUUUAGCGCUAUCAGCUUGUGAGAGUGUGGACAAUGUGGACACGGAUCCCACGCCCAGCUCCGAGGCUGACAUUCCGGACCUGCUCACACCUAUCUCACAUUCUGGGGCGACGCCGUUGGGUAUCCGUCGUCGUGAGCGCGUACGUCGCGUGCGACCCAAGUCUGUGGCGGAGCAGCAGUGCAGCAGCAACGAGAUGCUGUCACUGCCGCCGCUGCAUGCGGAGGCUGCGGACGCUCUCGCAGACCUGCCUGCACACACGCUCAGGCAUCUCGUUAAAGGUCGUCCCCGUAGAGCUAAAACUCGAGCUCCCUCUCGACCAAUCACCGAUCAGUCACAGGACAUUGAUGAAGGUCUGGAGGAGUUUUGGCGCACGUGCCGCACGCCGCCGGGCAGCGAGGAGGCGUCGCUGUCUGCGCGCACGCCGCUCACCUCACGCUCCCUGCACUCCCUCUCCUCGCUCGCCUCGCCCUCCCCCGCCUCACCCUCGCCGCACCCCGCCUCGCCCUCACCCUCCCCCUCGCGCGCACGUCACUCCCCCACGCUGCAGAGAGACGACACCAUGUAUAGUGUGACGUCAGGGGAAAGUACUCCGGUAUUAUUGGAAUGUGAAGUAUCUCGAUGCAAGUCGUCUGACAACGUGGGCACGCGCGCGCCCGCUACGCCGCCACCUUCGCGUUCUUCCGACAAUGUCAACACCAUGGGCAACGGAUGCGUGCGCGGCGCGGGCAAGGCGCGGCCGUGGUCCGUGGCCGGCGUCAAUGCAGACCCCGCCGCAGCCGCUUGCACCACAGAGGGCGUGGAGGCGUGCGUGGGCGGCAGCAUCGUCGGCAUCACCCCCGGCGCCGCACUAACCAGUAAUCAACUUUCUGACGCUAUUCUGUACUGACUGCGCUCUGUAUGUGCCGUGCCGUGCCGCCCGCCUGCAAUACGGCUCAAUGUUACGAGAUCAUCCAUUAACACCAGAAGGCGCGGAUACGUAGACGAAGGACAAAUGGAGACAUCCAAGUGAUAAGAUGAGCAGGGUUUUAUGUCCAAGUGUAAACGGUUGUUAUGUGGAAUGUAUUCACCGAAGCUCACAAUUGUGCCAGUUAGAAUUGUAGAAGAUUUAGACUAGUUGUUGGCGUACAGAACUAAGAGAACUUUUACCAGGACUGAAUCUAAAGUAUAACCAGGGGUGACCGGACCGAUUCAUCGGUAACAAGAGGCGCAGAAUAGCAGCCCUAAACAAGGAUUCAUUUUCUUUUAUCGUCGUCCCAAAAAAAA
This is an RNA transcript of Papilio xuthus (Asian swallowtail), 3784 nucleotides long. It is a transcript of the gene named capping protein regulator and myosin 1 linker 1 leucine rich repeat protein, with no coding region annotated. The record is from RefSeq and is a predicted model, not a curated record. NCBI's taxonomy places the organism in Eukaryota, Metazoa, Arthropoda, Insecta, Lepidoptera, Papilionidae. The transcript is spliced from 28 exons.